RNAcentral lists this ribosomal RNA (433 nucleotides) under uncultured bacterium. RNAcentral's name for it is "partial 16S ribosomal RNA". It matches the Rfam family "Bacterial small subunit ribosomal RNA", at positions 29 to 507 of the family's 1533-position model. The record is from RNAcentral.
AACGAACGCUGGCGGCAUGCCUAACACAUGCAAGUCGAACGAGACCUUCGGGUCUAGUGGCGCACGGGUGCGUAACGCGUGGGAACCUGCCCUUAGGUUCGGAAUAACUCCCCGAAAGGGGUGCUAAUACCGGAUAAUGUCUUCGGACCAAAGAUUUAUCGCCUUUGGAUGGGCCCGCGUUGGAUUAGCUAGUUGGUAGGGUAAAAGCCUACCAAGGCGACGAUCCAUAGCUGGUCUGAGAGGAUGAUCAGCCACACUGGGACUGAGACACGGCCCAGACUCCUACGGGAGGCAGCAGUGGGGAAUAUUGGACGAUGGGCGAAAGCCUGAUCCAGCAAGGCCGCGUGAGUGAUGAAGGCCUUAGGGUUGUAAAGCUCUUUUACCCGGGAUGAUAAUGACAGUACCGGGAGAAUAAGCUCCGGCUAACUCCGUG